UCAAUAAUUCCAUGCUAAUAAGGAAGCAUAAUCAGAUUCACUCACUAGGGACCAGCAACAAAUCCAAAGGGGAAAAAGUGGCCUGCAAACAAGAAGACAGUGCACACAAAAUUGGCUUGAAGUGAAAUCGAUAUCGAUGUAACCCUGAACAAGCACCAACUAUUCGAACGGAAAGGCACAAAAAAAUAAGCGUGGUGGAGUUGAAAUCAAUUAAGUGUACCUUGAAAAUCAACUGGAGAGAUGAGCGACAGUUCUUGGUUGGCCCUUGUUCUAGAGCAAAAACCCGAAAUCAAGGAUGAACACAAAAUUAGUCCUCUUUAUUACCACCUUUCACACAUCAAUGGUCACAGUAAGAUUCAGUCGGUAGAUUCUUUGUAAAGGGAAAAUGUGGCCUGCACACAAGAAGACAUUGCACACAAAACUGAGGGGAUCGACAAUUUUCAAGCAGUGUGCUGGAGCUGGAAUCGCCGAAUUUACCUUGAAUUGGGCGGAGAGAUGAGGGAAGGAUCCCUUGAUCCAGAGGAAAAAGCUAGCUAGAUCUCCCUUGUUCUGUGAGAAGUAACAGUGGUCCAGAUCUGGCAAGUGAGCAGACAAAUCUGGCAACUGCACUUAAUUUGUACACAAAUCUGCCAAUGUCUGAGCUUAAUUUGUACCGCAAACUCCAGAGAUGUAAAAACUGGAAGCUUUUCUUCUUGUACUAGAAAAGUCUGAGCUUAGUUUGGACAGCACAUCGGAGCUUAAACUAAGAGAAAACAAACCGAAAACCCGGUGCUUUCCGGUAGACAGAUCAAAUGAAAGCAGAGAUUUGUAAUAAACAAGUCCCCAUUAAGAUCUGAGGAUCCACUAGGUGGGAGUGGGACGAGGAAGGAGCGGGUCCUCACCUCCUUGGGCGCCGGCGGCAGUGCCGGACGAAGUAACUGGCGGCCGGCGGAGGCUGAACCACUGGAGAGGGAGGGAGGG
This 960-nucleotide long non-coding RNA is filed under the name Triticum aestivum (bread wheat). RNAcentral's name for it is "long non-coding RNA (TAES_LNC003974)". The record is from RNAcentral. Lineage: Eukaryota; Viridiplantae; Streptophyta; Magnoliopsida; Poales; Poaceae.